AGUAACUCCUGGAAGGCUGGCCAUGUAUGCCAAGACAGAGAAGAAAGACUUGAUGACCCUUGUUCUUUCAGCGUGGAAAAUGAAAAGUAUGCCAAUCACUGGUGCGCCUUGCUACGACAGCCAAAUAGUACCUUUGCAGAGUGCCAUUCUGUGGUGGAUCCUGAGAUUUACUACAAGCGAUGUACUUAUGCUAGCUGUAACUGUGAGAAGAGCGAGGACUGCCUGUGUGCUGUUUUCUCCUCCUACGCCAGAGCUUGUGCAUCAAAGGGAGUGUUCUUGACAGACUGGAGAGAUAAUGUGUGCGACAAAUACACCAAGAACUGCCCAGAAUCUCAGACCUUCUCUUACAAACAUCAGAGAUGCCAGCUGACUUGCAGAUCUUUGAGCUUAAACCAGCAGAGCUGCACCUCUGAUUUCUUGCCUGUGGAUGGCUGUUCCUGCGCUGAGGGUCACUACCUAGAUGACAAUGGCAUCUGUGUCC
Oreochromis aureus is the source of this 481-nucleotide long non-coding RNA. The record is from Ensembl. NCBI's taxonomy places the organism in Eukaryota, Metazoa, Chordata, Actinopteri, Cichliformes, Cichlidae.